Molecule: ribosomal RNA, 763 nt
Filed under: uncultured bacterium
Lineage: Bacteria
Description: bacterial SSU rRNA
Rfam family: Bacterial small subunit ribosomal RNA
Source: RNAcentral
AGAGUUUGAUCCUGGCUCAGGACGAACGCUGGCGGCAUGCCUAACACAUGCAAGUCGAACGAGACCCCCGUCUUCGGAUGGCGGGUCUAGUGGCGCACGGGUGCGUAACGCGUGGGAAUCUGCCCUUCGGUUCGGAAUAACUCAGGGAAACUUGAGCUAAUACCGGAUAAUGUCUUCGGACCAAAGAUUUAUCGCCGAGGGAUGAGCCCGCGUAGGAUUAGCUUGUUGGUGAGGUAAAAGCUCACCAAGGCGACGAUCCUUAGCUGGUCUGAGAGGAUGAUCAGCCACACUGGGACUGAGACACGGCCCAGACUCCUACGGGAGGCAGCAGUGGGGAAUAUUGGACAAUGGGCGAAAGCCUGAUCCAGCAAUGCCGCGUGAGUGAUGAAGGCCUUAGGGUUGUAAAGCUCUUUUACCCGGGAUGAUAAUGACAGUACCGGGAGAAUAAGCCCCGGCUAACUCCGUGCCAGCAGCCGCGGUAAUACGGAGGGGGCUAGCGUUGUUCGGAAUUACUGGGCGUAAAGCGCACGUAGGCGGCUUAGUAAGUUAGAGGUGAAAGCCCUGAGCUCGACUCCGGAAUUGCCUUUAAGACUGCAUCGCUUGAAUCAUGGAGAGGUGAGUGGAAUUCCGAGUGUAGAGGUGAAAUACGUAGAUAUUCGGAAGAACGCAUNUGGCGAAGCGACUCCUGGACGUGUAUUGACGCUGAAGUUCCAAGCGUGGGACCACCUGAUGGAUACCUGUAUCAGGCGAUCGCCCCUGCGCG